This is a long non-coding RNA of Amphimedon queenslandica, 930 nucleotides long. RefSeq lists it as uncharacterized. The record is from RefSeq and is a predicted model, not a curated record. The transcript is spliced from 6 exons. NCBI's taxonomy places the organism in Eukaryota, Metazoa, Porifera, Demospongiae, Haplosclerida, Niphatidae.
UAAGUUUGUAUUUUUAUGGUGUAUUCGUAUUCAUGGAAUAUUAUUAGACAAGAUUGUUAUACUAGUAACUCAUCAAAUGCAAUACCUUGAGUAGUGUGAUGCUAUACUUGGAUUAAAAGAAGGUUGUGUAGCUGUGUAUGGUGACACUGAUGAGGUUUUGAAAGACAACAGUGCAAUCACGGAGUUACUAGUUGAUAAUGUGCAUGUAAGUAAGACUGCAUACAUCUAUGAUUGCAAUGUUAUAUCAGCAAGUAAAGCUGGACAAGAGAAAAAUCAUUUUGAUAAUUGUGAGAAAGAUCCCGAGAUUGAGUUUAAACCAAAUCAAUUAACAGCUAAUACUCUAUGUAUUGCACAUUAUUGUCAUCAUAUUUAUGCUUGAAAUAGGAAGUAGUUGAAAAGAUGUCUGUUCCUCCUGAAGAAAGAGCUCAUAGUACAGUAUCCACCAAGAUGUACAUUCGUUACUUUUUAAUUGGAGGGGGCUAUUUGUUCACAUUAGUAAUCUUACUUCUUUAUUUAAUGACUGAGGUGUGUCUCAUUGUCGCUUUAAAAGUUGCUAUUUUUUAGUUUUGAUUGAAAAUGUACCAAACUUGCCAAUUAUGAUUGAAAACUGCAAGAGACAUCAAACAGCUCGAAGCAAAGACUCGGAGUCCUGUCUACUCUCAUCUACAUGUAUCUGUUACAUUACAAGGACUGCCUACCAUUAGAUCAUAUUCAAUGCAGACUGAAGCAAUGCAUCUUUUCUACAAGUUUCAAAAUCUACACACUCAAGCUUCCUACCUUUAUAAUUAUUGUAACUAAUAGAUGGUUUGGAAUGAGACUUGAUAUUCUUAGCACAUUAUUUGUUGCAUCUGUAGCUUUUGCAUCUAUUCCCCUGUCAUCUAUGCUGGAUGCAGGUUUAGUGGGGCUGGCACUUAUCUAUUCUGUAUUACU